This 385-nucleotide ribosomal RNA is filed under the name Colpodellaceae sp. RNAcentral describes it as "partial small subunit ribosomal RNA". It matches the Rfam family "Eukaryotic small subunit ribosomal RNA", at positions 582 to 975 of the family's 1831-position model. Lineage: Eukaryota; Colpodellaceae. The record is from RNAcentral.
AUUCCAGCUCCAAUAGCGUAUAUUAAAGUUGUUGCAGUUAAAAAGCUCGUAGUUGAAUUUCUGUCUAGAAUUACCCGUGCAACUUGUUGUCUACGUGGUGCAAUCUAGACAUUUCUCCAGAGAACGUCACUGUACUUCACUGUAUGGUACGGUAUCUGGAACUUUUACUUUGAGAAAAUAGAGUGUUUCAAGCAAGCAUAUGCUUUGAAUACUGCAGCAUGGAAUAAUUUUAUAAGACUUUGGUCUUAUUUUGUUGGUUUCUAAGACUGAAGUAAUGAUUGAUAGGGACAGUUGGGGGCAUUCGUAUUUAACUGUCAGAGGUGAAAUUCUUGGAUUUGUUAAAGACGAACUACUGCGAAAGCAUUUGCCAGGGAUGUUUUCAUUG